Molecule: ribosomal RNA, 498 nt
Filed under: Clostridioides difficile
Lineage: Bacteria; Bacillati; Bacillota; Clostridia; Peptostreptococcales; Peptostreptococcaceae
Description: bacterial LSU rRNA
Rfam family: Bacterial large subunit ribosomal RNA
Source: RNAcentral
UAUGAUCCAGAGUACCACGGGACACUUGAAAACCUGUGGAAAGCAGAAAGGACCACCCUCCAAGGAUAAAUACUAACUAAUGAACGAUAGCGAAUAGUCCCUUGAGGGAAAAGUGAAAACAACCCAGGGAAGAGAUUGAAAUAGAGCCUAACACCCUGCACUUACAAGCUGUGGAAGCACAUUUCUUGUGUGACCGCGUACUUUUUGUAGAACGGGCCAACGAGUUACGUUAAGUAGCCAGGUUAAGCACUUAAGGUGCGGAGCCGUAGCGAAAGCGGGUUGUAACGGAGCGUUAAGUUACGUGACGGAGACUCGAAACCGGGAGACCGACCCUAUAGCAGGAUGAAGCGAAAGUAAAAUUUCGUGUAGGUCCGAACCCACGAGCGUUGAAAAGCUCGGGGAGGACUUGUGGGUAGCGGUGAAAUUCAAAUCGAGCCCGGAGAUAGCUGGUGCUCCCCGAAAUAGCUUUAGGGCUAGCCUCAAGGUGAGAGAUACGGA